Molecule: ribosomal RNA, 209 nt
Filed under: uncultured organism
Description: partial 16S ribosomal RNA
Rfam family: Bacterial small subunit ribosomal RNA
Source: RNAcentral
UGGGAGGAGAACAACAGCUGGAAACGGCUGCUAAUACCCCAUAGGCUGAGGAGCAAAAGGAGGAAUCCGCCCAAGGAGGGGCUCGCGUCUGAUUAGUUAGUUGGUGAGGCAAUGGCUUACCAAGGCGACGAUCAGUAGCUGGUCCGAGAGGAUGAUCAGCCACACUGGGACUGAGACACGGCCCAGACUCCUACGGGAGGCAGCAGUGG